Molecule: ribosomal RNA, 404 nt
Filed under: uncultured bacterium
Lineage: Bacteria
Description: bacterial SSU rRNA
Rfam family: Bacterial small subunit ribosomal RNA
Source: RNAcentral
AAUGAACGCUGGCGGCGCGCCUAAUACAUGCAAGUCGAGCGAGAAGACGUAGCAAUACGUUUGUAAAGCGGCGAACGGGUGAGGAAUACAUGGGUAACCUACCCUCGAGUGGGGAAUAACUAGCCGAAAGGUUAGCUAAUACCGCGUACGCUUCUUGGACUUCGGUUCAGGGAGGAAAGCGAUGCCGAGGGUAUCGCGCUCUUGGAUGGGCUCAUGUCCUAUCAGCUUGUUGGGAGGUAACGGCUCACCAAGGCUUCGACGGGUAGCUGGUCUGAGAGGACGAUCAGCCACACUGGCACUGCGACACGGGCCAGACUCCUACGGGAGGCAGCAGUAAGGAAUAUUGCGCAAUGGGGCGAAAGCCUGACGCAGCGACGCCGCGUGGGGGAGUGAAGGUCGUUCGG